CCGCAUGGUUCUAAAGUGAAAGAUGGUUUUGCUAUCACUUAUAGAUGGACCCGCGCCGUAUUAGCUAGUUGGUAAGGUAACGGCUUACCAAGGCGACGAUACGUAGCCGACCUGAGAGGGUGAUCGGCCACACUGGAACUGAGACACGGUCCAGACUCCUACGGGAGGCAGCAGUAGGGAAUCUUCCGCAAUGGGCGAAAGCCUGACGGAGCAACGCCGCGUGAGUGAUGAAGGGUUUCGGCUCGUAAAACUCUGUUAUUAGGGAAGAACAAAUGUGUAAGUAACUGUGCACGUCUUGACGGUACCUAAUCAGAAAGCCACGGCUAACUACGUGCCAGCAGCCGCGGUAAUACGUAGGUGGCAAGCGUUAUCCGGAAUUAUUGGGCGUAAAGCGCGCGUAGGCGGUUUCUUAAGUCUGAUGUGAAAGCCCACGGCUCAACCGUGGAGGGUCAUUGGAAACUGGGAAACUUGAGUGCAGAAGAGGAAAGUGGAAUUCCAUGUGUAGCGGUGAAAUGCGCAGAGAUAUGGAGGAACACCAGUGGCGAAGGCGACUUUCUGGUCUGUAACUGACGCUGAUGUGCGAAAGCGUGGGGAUCAAACAGGAUUAGAUACCCUGGUAGUCCACGCCGUAAACGAUGAGUGCUA
Molecule: ribosomal RNA, 645 nt
Filed under: Staphylococcus saprophyticus
Lineage: Bacteria; Bacillati; Bacillota; Bacilli; Caryophanales; Staphylococcaceae
Description: bacterial SSU rRNA
Rfam family: Bacterial small subunit ribosomal RNA
Source: RNAcentral